Molecule: small RNA, 127 nt
Filed under: Marmota monax (woodchuck)
Lineage: Eukaryota; Metazoa; Chordata; Mammalia; Rodentia; Sciuridae
Source: RNAcentral
GCUGGGUGCGGUGCUGCAGGCCUGUAAUCCCAGCGGCUCAGGAGGCUGAGGCAGGAGGAUCGAGAGUUCAAGACCAGCCUCAGCAACUUAUUGAGGCCCUAAGCAACUUACUGAGACCCUUUCUCAA